UAACAGGCCGCAAGGUGCUGACGAGUGGCGAACGGGUGAGUAAUGCAUCGGAACGUGCCCAGUCGUGGGGGAUAACGCAGCGAAAGCUGUGCUAAUACCGCAUACGAUCUAUGGAUGAAAGCGGGGGACCGUAAGGCCUCGCGCGAUUGGAGCGGCCGAUGUCAGAUUAGGUAGUUGGUGGGGUAAAGGCCUACCAAGCCAACGAUCUGUAGCUGGUCUGAGAGGACGACCAGCCACACUGGGACUGAGACACGGCCCAGACUCCUACGGGAGGCAGCAGUGGGGAAUUUUGGACAAUGGGCGCAAGCCUGAUCCAGCAAUGCCGCGUGCAGGAAGAAGGCCUUCGGGUUGUAAACUGCUUUUGUACGGAACGAAACGGUCUGGGUUAAUACCCUGGACUAAUGACGGUACCGUAAGAAUAAGCACCGGCUAACUACGUGCCAGCAGCCGCGGUAAUACGUAGGGUGCAAGCGUUAAUCGGAAUUACUGGGCGUAAAGCGUGCGCAGGCGGUUUUGUAAGACAGGCGUGAAAUCCCCGGGCUCAACCUGGGAAUUGCGCUUGUGACUGCAAGGCUGGAGUGCGGCAGAGGGGGAUGGAAUUCCGCGUGUAGCAGUGAAAUGCGUAGAUAUGCGGAGGAACACCGAUGGCGAAAGCAAUCCCCUGGGCCUGC
RNAcentral lists this ribosomal RNA (671 nucleotides) under Hydrogenophaga pseudoflava. Its description in RNAcentral is "bacterial SSU rRNA". It matches the Rfam family "Bacterial small subunit ribosomal RNA", at positions 70 to 738 of the family's 1533-position model. The record is from RNAcentral. Lineage: Bacteria; Pseudomonadati; Pseudomonadota; Betaproteobacteria; Burkholderiales; Comamonadaceae.